GUUUGCAUAAUUUAAAAAAAAUAAUAGAUUGUGAUUCUAUAAAUAAGAGUUAAAUCCUCUUUACAAACC
Molecule: transfer RNA, 69 nt
Filed under: Pseudobranchus axanthus (narrow-striped dwarf siren)
Lineage: Eukaryota; Metazoa; Chordata; Amphibia; Caudata; Sirenidae
Description: tRNA-His
Rfam family: tRNA
About the family: Transfer RNA (tRNA) molecules are approximately 80 nucleotides in length.
Source: RNAcentral